GGGGUGGUGGCGCAGUUGGCUAGCGCGUAGGUCUCAUACUAUACCGUGAGUCAUCCUGAGCUCGAGAGUUCGAGCCUCUCUCACCCCA
RNAcentral lists this transfer RNA (88 nucleotides) under Hordeum vulgare. RNAcentral describes it as "tRNA-Met". It matches the Rfam family "tRNA". Rfam says of the family: Transfer RNA (tRNA) molecules are approximately 80 nucleotides in length. Their secondary structure includes four short double-helical elements and three loops (D, anti-codon, and T loops). Lineage: Eukaryota; Viridiplantae; Streptophyta; Magnoliopsida; Poales; Poaceae. The record is from RNAcentral.